AAUUUUCCUAUCAGCCAACUGUGCCUUUAAGGGAGACAGGAUUGAUGUGAGAUCUUACAAGCUUUCAUUAUCAUCCAGUGCUUGUGUCACAUAGCUGCCCUUCCCUACUUCUCAGCCCUCCAAAAGGCACAAUGUCUUCCAUCAGGCAAAAGUGACACCACAACAUUCAUUAUAGGAAGUAAGAGACAUUCAUCACUGGAAUAUUUUAGCAAAUGAAUCACAACAGACUGAUAGCAUAACUCAUGUUCUAAGGCCAAGAACAAGAAUUGCAUAGUUUAUUUUAAGACAGCAGAAGAGUAAAAAACAGAUUGAAAAACAUAUGAUACCCUCUCCAGCUCAGAGCUCUACAAACAGCAGUGGCGUUUGCAAAGUUCUAUGUAUCUUCUCAAAUGUGGUUUCAGUUUUAAUGUGUGUUGACAUCUUUGUGUGCAGAACUAACUGGAGGAACAACAGUUUGUGCUUUUUUUCCCUUCUUGCUACAAGGGUGAGAACAGGGAAAGAACCAAACGAUCUGUGUUUACUUUGAGCAGCCAUACACCAUGCAUGGACACUAAGCUUCUUACUGCUUCUGAUUAGUGACCUCAAUUGAGACUCAUUGCUCAUUGCAAAGACUGCUAAUGGAUUGUUUGAGCCUGAAUGUGUUAGGAUGGAAUAUUUCUUCUUCUCAGAUUCAAGGCCAGUUUUUUUCCACCCCAAGUCCAUUCUACCCAGAGUUCUAGAUGAUGAUGGUCAGGUUAUUCAAGAUAAUGAUUAUGUUUUCUAGAUGAUUUAAAAUGAAGUUCAACUUUUAUUAUCUUCCCUAUAAUGAUAUUUGUAGUCUUUAUGUUCAAUAACAAGCUGUCAGGCUGCCUCAGUUUAAGCCAAGGCAUUUUCUUAUCAAAACCCAUCACAGAAAAAGAUACAAUCAUGAAACCACAGAUUCUUGUAGCUCUUCACAGUAAACUUUAACUAUGAAUAACCUCUUGGAUUAUUAGCCGAUUGUGAUUACAUUUAUAUUAUUUGCUCACAUGCUUUGUCACUUUAGAGCCCUGAAAACCCUGUUCAUUGUUGCUAGGAGAUGGGUGGCUAUGGCAACAGUGUGGGUCAGAGCCAGAUGGAAUGCCUAAAGCAUAAUCAGGUUUAGGCUUUUUUUUGAUCUCCAAAUGACUCCAUGGCAGUCCUGAGCACGGAAGCCCCAAAUCACUGCCUCUUCAGCUUGUUUCAAAAGAGCUAAUUUUGGGAGAAGAGCUCUGACUCAGAAUGGCUUCCAAAUGAUACAUAGCCUGGGUGUACCUCAGAAGGGAGAUUCAAGCAAAAUCCUCAUCUGUCUCAGAGGCCUUACCAGUUCUGGACAAGUGUGUGAUGUCUAACAGAUCCACCAGUAGUAAUUCUUGAAAAGACAUAUUCCUUGAAGGUAGAAUCACUGUCAGCAGAGUCCUUGCCAGGAACGACUUUCCAGUGAAGGAGACAAUGGAAAUUUGGACAACAUUUUGAAAACCACUAACAGUAACAACGUGUUAAUAAUAAUUAAAACAUUAAGAUGAAGAAGACAAAGAAGGAGAAAUAUGAAGGGAUUGCUAAUUGCUGGUGUUCUGCAUUUGUUUUCUUAUUUAAUCCUCAUCAUAACCUUAUGAGGUGUUUCUCUCGGGAAAAGAGAGAAAUUGUUGGCAGAAAAUAAUGAAAACACAAGGACUUGUGCUAUGUGCUGAAAGAAUUGCUCCUGAAACGAUAAAGGUGAAAUGCAGAUAAAGACAAUCAAGAUACAGCCUUUUUUAAAAAAUUAUUUCCAUUCCAGUCCUAUCCAUCCUGGCUAUAAAGUGACUCUCAACCCAAAGAUCUGGAAACUCCAGUUAAAUAAUGCACAUUUAAUUAUUUUGGUGCCCUUUUGGUAUCUAAUGCAUGCUAUAGAUGAUUGCACUGUCAUUUUAACACUGAGAGGUACAAAAUAAUAGGUCCAUUUUCAAAAGACGUGGCCUUAACAGAACUAGUAUUUUUACUUUUAGUAUCCAAAGUACUAGAAUAAAGGAAACUGCUAAAUGUAACGUAAAGUGGAAAUGCACAUAC
RNAcentral lists this long non-coding RNA (2043 nucleotides) under Homo sapiens (human). Its description in RNAcentral is "HSALNT0328610". Lineage: Eukaryota; Metazoa; Chordata; Mammalia; Primates; Hominidae. The record is from RNAcentral.